CGCCGUGCGGCCUGGGCGUGGACUUUGAAGUCGGGGCGGGUUCUUGGGCCGGGAGUCUGGCGGCGCUUUAAGAAGAGAAAAGCUUUUUGUCGCACGCGCACGGCGUAGCCUCCAUUUUCCUUCGGCUUCAAUCUGCGCAGUCUCGUAGGCUCUCUUAGGAGUUGUCCACGACGGAAAGCUUCUGCCUACCGGCGCCUCGGGGAAGGACGCACCUGGGAGUGCAGAAGAAACAGCGGUCCACGUUUGUGUUGGAUUUGAAUGCUCCCCCCCCCACGUUGUCUUGUUUGAAUUCCACAGCCGCUUACGCUGUGGGGCUUAUUUUUGAGAUUUCUGGCCAAAGGUUAUCAAGUUAGAGGAGCUGAAUUUUUAAGCUAGACUUCGAGGUCAUGGGUAGUGUGGUUUUAAACCAAGCUGUGAUUUAAAACAGAAGGUUAAGGAGAAACAGAUAAACGAGGAACUGAAUUUACUUUAUUUUGUUACAGUUAAAACUGUAACACCGCACGUACCUAUUGAUUAACCCCUUCUGUCGUUGUGAGAGAGUACCGCGGAGCUCCGUUCUGGGAGGAGAUAGGUCUCUGGCCCUGAGCCAAUACCUAUUGUGUGUGAAUAAAAUCUGCCUUUUAAAAUUUUAACUAUUUGCCAAAGACAAAAUACAGGCAGACGUAUUUCUAAAAGGCUUUUAGAUUGUAAGUGUAAUCAGAGAAGGAAUUUUGUGCUUCUUGUUUACUUUGGUAUCCCCACUCCUACAGCCCUGGCAGAUCACACAAACCCUCUAAUUCAGCCAGACGUACGUGAACCACAGAUGUUCAUCACCCCUCCCAGGACCAAGUUCAUUUUCAGCAGCCCAGAUGUGACAACCAUAAAUGAAGUGCCAGAGGUGCACAUGAGAAAACCAGGCUCCCUUGUCUGCUCAACAGAUGGCAGAGCCGAGUGGCCGCAUAGCCCAGGAGGAGGCACUGGCCAUCCUGCAAAAUGCAGCAUCCCUGGGCAGAAAACCUGCAUUUGUGAUGGUGAUAAUUUCAUGGAUGGAUAUUCACCAGAGCUGCAUCGUGUUCCAUUCCCUGACAUCUAUAGACUGCAGUCUAUAUAACCAGUUCCCUAGUGACGGAAGGGAGGAAGAGCUGAUCCACCAAGUUACAGGUAGUGACCUGGGGCUGACAAAUCUUUGUGAAAGCCCGGAGUGAGCCCCUUCGCUGUGAGCCGUGAUCUGCAUGGACCUGAGGAAUGGCUGCAAAGGUUCUCACACCCCAGACCAUCUUGCUGAGAAGCAUACAUCCUCAGGCUACACUCAGGCUAGGCUUUCACAUCCUUUUUUUUGAAACUGGAUUCGCUUUUUUAAACACAGCUGACUUCAUCUUUUACAUGAUGCAAAUUCUUAUUCCUGUCUUUGUGAAACUCGUCAGUGUCCUCAUGAUCUCCACAUGUCUGUGAGCUCGAGUGCGGGCUGUUUUAGACAGUCCAGCCACAGAAGCUAAUAAUAACUAAGAAGCACUUGAGAGCUUCUCCUGCUCCAAGCACCACACCAAGAGUUUCUGAGGGAUGAUCUCAUGUCAUCCUCACAACAGCCCCAGGAAGUAGCUCUGGUUAUUAGCCUAUUUUGUGGAUUACAACUCUGAGACCCAAAGGGGUUAAAUCAGAUACCCCAAAUCACAUAACUAGUCCAUGGCAGGGCUGGCACAGGAUACGAACCUAGGUGUUUUUUUUUUUUUUUUUACUUUUGCAUAACAGGGAUAAAAUAAAGAUAAUGAUGAUGAUAACUCCCAGCACUGUGAUGGGCACUUGAAUAGGGGAUACUGUUGGGGCACUCUGGAUACCCUUUAAUUUGUCAUAUACCCCGCCUCCAGCUGCUGUGAGUUUUGGCGGCUCCCAGCUCUCAUCUACUUCUUUCUUUGGAGCGAUGGGCUGCCUAGAAAUGACUGCUUUCCCUCUGGAGGUGACCCUCAGCCAAUGACAGACAGAUAUGGGGUGCACAAACCUAGUUCCUUGUCUUGAGGCAGGAUAACUCUGUGGUGCCGUAGGUGCUACUGAGCUGAAUAAGAAUUCAGCUGAACCUGCAUCGUUCUUGGCUUCUUCCUCUGUUUUAUCCUGCUUCCUUCUGUCUCCCUCUCCUUCUCCUGAGAGCACUCCCACCAGGAAUCCCCAUCUCAGGUCCUACUUCUGUAGAACCUCGGAAAAGCCUGAAGAGCCCAGAACUACUGUCUUUAUUUUACAGAGUGAGAACAUGAAGCUGGAGGUGCUGUCUCCACUUUUAAAGACACUCCCUCUCGUUCUUGGAGGAGUGACAUCACCUGGGCUCCCUGCCCACCAGGGAGUGCUUUCCUUAGCUUCCCUCUUUGAAUUUACUGCCUUCCAAGGAUAAGAGGAGCAAUUUUACCUUCAUAGGCUCUACAUCUUCUGAUCACUCUCCCUUAUCCUCACUCUUUCCCGUCUCCUGAGUUGUCAUUCUCUCCCAGCAGCCACCAUGAACCAUGGCUAUCAGACACAUGUAGACAAGCUGGGGGCUGAGGUAGUCAUGGAUUGUUGGUGCUGAGCCUGAUUUUUCCCCUGUCCCUUGCACUGAUAGCACACCCUGCCCCCGUUCUUCAGUCACAGGGUAGGCAGGUGAUCCAGGCUGGACCAGUGAACCAUCCCAGACCAGUGAACCAUCCCCUACUGGUUGCAGAGAUUAGUUCAUAAAUGAGUGUGUGACCAAGCCAAGCCAAUCAGAGCCCUUCCUUGGGACAGUUUUGGGGACAUCAAGGGGGAAAGACAGCCUCCUGCUUCUGACAUGCUAUAAAGAUUCGAAUCUGAGGCUGUCAGUGGCCAUCUUCCCUGCUGCAUGGGAAAAAAAGCCCUAUGAGGUCAUGGAGAAUAAGGUAACAUCCAGUGACCAAAAGCACCAAGAGGCAGAGAGAGAAAUCUUGAGAACACUGAAGCAUUGCUAGGUCACCUAAUGUACCCUUUCCUUCCUGCUUACACAAGUCAGGGUGGGCCUACCAUUGAUUUCUGCCUGUGGCACCUGAAAAAAUUAUGAUUAACAGUGAGCCCAGCUAGAUGCCACUUCUAGACACAAAAAUUCCUGGGGGCAGGCUAGAUUUCCCCCCAGCAGCUCAGUCAUCAGAGGGGGAGGAUUAGGACUAGAAAUAAUGUCUCCUGACUCCUUAUUCCAACCCUCCAGCUUUUCCAGGGAGAUAGCUACCAGGCCUUGUGCCUGGUAGUGAAUGACCAGGAUGUGGAUCACCUGGAAGGGAGCUCAGAGCUGAGGAAUCUGAUCCAGUGAGAAUCCUGCAGACAGAGGACCUGUCUCAGGUCUUUUCAGCAGUGAAAGAUCUGGAGUUGAAGUUGGAAGAAGGAGCUAAUACUCAGGGUGAGGCUGGGAGUGCUGAUCAGAGUUUGUGCAGGUGGGAUCCAGCCACAGUGCUGGCUCUGGGUGAAGCAGGAAGUGCUAGCCAGCUUCCCUCUCUGUCCUCCUGCAUCACAUGACCUGCAUCUUCUGUGUACAUAGCCAACCUUACACUGAAGUCUCUUCUCAAGAGAGGAUUGGGUAUCGGUCAACUAUACCAUCAUGUAAAUUUGGGAUGUUGCAUGCUUUUCUCCAGGAGAAUUUGGAAGCUAGACAGGUGUUUGAUUAAAAAACAUGCCAUUCCCCAUUAAAAGACUCUAGGGAGUAAUGAGUAUAGGAGAUAUUUCUUGGUGGGAGUGGAAAAAAACCAUCCUUCCAGAACUUUUUAUUUUUAUAUAUAAAGAUACCCCUGGCUAAAGGUGCUGUAGGGGUCCUUCUUCCCUUCCUGGAAGUACAAGUGCAUGAUCACAGGUGCCAUUUGGAGAUGCUAUUGUCAUUGAUGUUGCUAACUCUAGUGGACUGAUUUUGACUACUGUCUUGGUUUGAGUUGCUCCUGAGGCAGAUCCCGAGAUAAGAAUUUGAGUACAAGUAAUUCAUUUGGGAAGUAAUCUAAAGAAGUCCUGAUAGUGGUAGGAAAGUGAGAAAGAGAAGGGGUGGUAACAAAUAUGGGAUGUAUUAUGAAGUCAGUUACACCUGUGUCCAACUGAGCCUCAAUCCUCCUGGAGAACUCUGAACGAAUGAAUGAAUGAAUGGACGGACAUUUGCAUGAAUGACAGUAAUCGCCUAUGUGAGUGGUUUGGGGUAGAUCAAGGAAAGGGGCUGAGUCCCAUGCCUGGACCAACACAGAAUGGAGGGGACAAGGAGCCGAGAGAAGAGAACUGCUAUACGAGUUGAGAUGCAGUAAAAUCAGGAGUUCAGUGGGCGUGAGAGCUCAGAGGGUGUCAGGGACAGGUGACCUUGAGAAGACACCCUGGGGGUGUUAACCCAAUUUUGCAGAGUGCAUUAAACUCACAGAACCUAGGAUGGGGGCUGGAUUCACUUUUACUUAAUCUUGAAUGACACAGAGACCUCUGCUGACACCCAGGUGAAGAUAAACAGGAGCAGCUGAGAGACCUCAGUCCUGGGCCUGGCUGCUUCCACUUGGUGUCAACUUAAGCAAAUGUCUUUAUGGGGUAGGCUGGAUAAUGGCCCCUAGUGAUGUCCAUGUCCUAAACUCCAGAACCUGUGAUGUUACCUUAGAUGGCAAAGGGGACUUCACUGAUGUGGUUAAAUUACAAAUCUUGAGACAAGGAGAUCACCCUGGAGCAUUCACAUGGUAAUCACAAAGGUCCUGAUGAGGGCAGCAGGAAGUUCAAAGUCAGAGACAAGAGGGUGAUGUGACCAUGGAAACAGAGGGGACUGAUGAGGACGGAAGCCAAGGGGCGCUGGCAGCUUGUGGAAGCUGUAAGAAGCAAGGAAUGGAUUCUCCCCUGGAGCCUACAGAAGGAACCAGCCCUGCUGACACCUUGAUUUUAGCCCUGUAAGACUUGUCCCCAACUUCUGACCCCAGCACUGUAUGAAAAUACAUUCAUAUUAUUUUAAGCCA
Molecule: long non-coding RNA, 4907 nt
Organism: Ailuropoda melanoleuca (giant panda)
Lineage: Eukaryota; Metazoa; Chordata; Mammalia; Carnivora; Ursidae
Exons: 6
Source: RefSeq, a predicted model, not a curated record